RNAcentral lists this ribosomal RNA (1434 nucleotides) under metagenome. RNAcentral's name for it is "bacterial SSU rRNA". It matches the Rfam family "Archaeal small subunit ribosomal RNA". The record is from RNAcentral.
UCCCGUUGAUCCUGCGGGAGGUUGCGCUAUUAGGAUUCGACUAAGCCAUGCAAGUCAGGGGCUCUUCGGAGCACCGGCAGAAUGCUCAGUAACACGUCGAUAAUUUGCCCUUAGGUCUGGGAUAACCUCGGGAAACUGAGGCUAAAACCGGAUAGGAGGCGGUGUCUGGAACGACCCGCUUCCCAAAAGUAAUGCCUAAGGAUAAGACGGCGGCCGAUUAGGUUGUUGGCGGGGUAAUGGCCCACCAAGCCAGAGAUCGGUAGGGGCCUUGAGAGAGGUAGCCCCGAGAAGGGCACUGAGACACUGGCCCUAGCCCUACGGGGUGCAGCAGGCGCGAAACCUUUACAAUGCACGAAAGUGUGAUAAGGGAAUCCUAAGUGCUUAUGCAAUGCAUAGGCUUUUGCCAAGAGCAAAAAUCUUGGCGAAUAAGUGGUGGGAAAGACUGGUGCCAGCCGCCGCGGUAACACCAGCGCCACGAGUGGUGACCACGAUUAUUGGGCCUAAAGCGUUCGUAGCCGGUCUGGUAAAUCUCUUGUGAAAUUGUUAAGCUCAACUUAACAGCAUGCAGGAGACACUGCCGGACUUGGGACCGGGAGGAGUCAGGAGUAUUCUUGGGGGAGCGGUAAAAUGUUAUAAUCCCUUGAAGACUACCUGUGGCGAAGGCGCCUGACUAGAACGGCUCCGACGGUGAGGAACGAAAGCCAGGGGAGCAAUCCGGAUUAGAUACCCGAGUAGUCCUGGCCGUAAACGUUGCGAGCAAGGUGUUGCAUAUUCUUCGUGAAUAUGCAGUGUCGAAGCGAAGGCGUUAAGCUCGCCGCCUGGGAAGUAUGGUCGCAAGACUGAAACUUAAAGGAAUUGGCGGGGGAGCACUACAAGGGGUGCGGCGUGCGGUUUAAUCUAACUCAACACAGAAAAUCUCACCAGGGGCGACGGCAGGAUGAAGGUCAGGCUAAAUGCUUUACCCAACGAGCCGAGAGGUAGUGCAUGGCCGCCGUCAGCUCGUGCCGUAAGGUGUCCUGUUAAGUCAGGCAACGAGCGAGACCUGUACCUAUAAUUGCUAACAGCUUCUUUGAAGGACUGAGCACAUUAUAGGGACUGCCUGUGAAAACAGGAGGAAGGUGCAGGCUACGGUAGGUCUGUAUGCUCCGAAUCCUCUGGGCUACACGCGCGCAACAAUGGUAAGGACAAUGGGAUACAACUCCGAAAGGAGAAGUUAACCCUCUAAACCUUAUCCAAGUCCAGAUUGAGGGCUGUAACUCGCCCUCAUGACGAUGGAAUCCCUAGUAAUCGGAUGUCAACAGCGUCCGGUGAAUAUGUCCCUGCUCCUUGCACACACCGCCCGUCAAACCAACCGAGCAGUGUUUAGAUGAGACUCAACUUUCUUGGUUGUUUCGAAUCUAAGCUCAGUGAGGUGGGUUAAGUCGUCACAAGGUA